Molecule: long non-coding RNA, 4175 nt
Organism: Diorhabda sublineata
Lineage: Eukaryota; Metazoa; Arthropoda; Insecta; Coleoptera; Chrysomelidae
Exons: 2
Source: RefSeq, a predicted model, not a curated record
AGACAAAUGUCAUAAACUAGCACAACAAAGUUACUAAUUUAAAUAAUAAAUAAUGGUGGAAUAAAUAUUGCUAUUGUUAUUAACGAAUGAAUAAUAAUUAUUCUUUGGAAAAGCUUACUUCUUAAAGAUGUUGAAAGAAGGUAACUUAUUUAUCAUGUUAUGUUUUUUUUUCAUAAUUUUUAGUCACUACAGGCACUAACAAAUUUCUUAGAAAGUAGAUCUUAUUUGAAAAACAUGCUAAAAUAUGGAAGAAAUAUGAAGCGAAGUUAAAUAUCGAAAAAAAAUUUCAUUUAUCAUAUUACAUUACUGAUCAGUUGUGAUCAUUAACGUUAGAAGUUAAGUGACGCGGACUUUUAAGAUUAAAUUCCUACAUAAAGAUUUUCCUCUAACCAAACGUUAUAUUGAGCAAUUUGUACAUUGCCGAAGAAGAUAAGAUCUUGAAAUUUCUUUUCACAAGCAAUAUGGAGAUUGAAGUUGAAUAUUCGAAACUUUAGUAUCGUCCAAGAACUUUACCAUUAUUUUGAUUCUACACAUUGUUAAAAGUUAACUAGUAAUUAAAUAUCAACUGAAAAUAUUUUGAAAGAAUAGGAAAAAUAGAGUGAGGAAAUUCAUAUAUAUGCAGAUAAUUAUAUUCAGAAUUUAAGAUACUUACAAAAUAGACUAUUUGAAAAGGGCAAUAAAGAAUCUACAAUUUAUACUAGCUACUAUAGAAGUUACUCAAACUGUUUCAUAAGUAGAAAGUAUAAAAGCACCACGAAACAAGAACAGGGCACAUAAUGAGAUCUAAUGAGAAGAAUCACUAAUUGUUUUGCUUCAUGGCCAAGGAAUGUUCAGAAAUACCAGUAGAAUAACAAUUCACAUUUAGGAAACAAUAACAAGAAGUUACAAUCUUGUAAAAAAUUAAAUCCAUUUCAAGAAAUUCCAUUGCAUUUAAAGAAAUCCUCAAUCCAUAUCAAUUGAAUGGAAACUUAUAGGGAAGUAGGGUUUCUUGUUCAAAUAAUGAAAAUUCAAUAGACUAGGAAUUUUUAAGGAAAUUAUUUAUUCAGUUGAAAAUAAAUUUUACAUUUUACACUUUUUAGAUAAUAAAAGAUAGGUAUAUUUUUGUAAAGUUAACUUCAUGGAAACUACAGUAAACAAAUCUAUGAAGCUGAAAAUCUAGUACUACCUAACAAGCUGAAACAUUGAGUAUAUGGUUAAUAGAAAUAAAGAAAAUGAUUAAUUGGAUAUAGAAAUAACACAUCUCAUUAAAAUUAUUUGGUAAAAUUUCAAAUAUGAUGUUGAAUUAUUAUAAAGUUACUUUAGAAUAUUAAGUGGAUAAACAAGCAAUAGUAAUGACAACUUUUUAUUCAACUAAGUUAAUCACUAGAACAAAUAUAAGUAUUCAUUCUAAUUUAUGAUCACUAUUAAGUUGGAUAAUAUGAAGAUAUACAUUUAACAUCCAGAGAUCUUUGGAUACCUAUUAUACUAACAAGAGUACAUUUACAUAGAGAAAUUUAGGGAUUGCAAGCUGAUAUCAAAGCUUUCAAUUAGUAACUUUUGUUUGUAGAAAUAUGUAUGCUAUUAUUGUUAAUUGUUUUCAUUUUUGUAUAAUUUCAUUAUCAUGUAUAGUUUUGUUCUUGGAUUUUCUAUAGGUUUGUUUUUUUCGACAGUAAAUUCUAGUUUUCCCAAAUAUACUGCAAGUGAAAGGUCUUUCCAUCUAAUAUUUAGUUGGUUAAUUUUAGUAGUGGAUCAACAAUUUCACUCGAAAUAACUUCUACUGGAUUGGAUCUCUUUUAUUUUUAAUUACCUUUGAAUCUAGGUUGCAUGAUGAGUACCUCUAUAAUCAAUUAUAAAUUUGACUUAUCGAAUAAUAAGCAAGAAUAAGUUCAAUCAAAACCUUUGAGUUAAUUGUGAGCAAUCCAUAGAAGUUCCUUGCUUAGUAUAAUAACACAACUAACAACUAAUGUUCUGUAUGGAUAUGAGAUAUUGUCUAAAAUUAUAUUCUCCACAUAAAUGCAAUGAUAAAUACGUUGUCGACAUUCCUGAAGUGAAUUGUAACAUCAAUGUUCCCUGGUAUCUGAGUAAAUUUUAUGAGAGUUACACACAACAAAGUCAUCUGCAUAUAAGAUUAAAUUACAGUUAAUAUCCUCAUAUAGUUAUGAAUAAAGCACAGCUCUCAGAAAUGAUUUCCUGAUGUGUUGCAAGUGAUUAGUUUAUAAUAAAAUUUACUAUGAAUGGAUUACAAAUCCAUGAUAGCAUCAAAGACUUUCCUGUGAUAAUAUAUCUGCAAGUUAUAUGCCUAAGUAAUAUCAAAUAAGUAUGCUCGCAGAUAAUUUUAAAAAAACAUUUGUUUUACAUAAUUUUAACACUUCGUUUGUUCAAAUGCUUUAAUAUGAACAAUAAUUGCAAUGUUACAGGAAGGUAUAAAUGGAAUCUCCUUAAACUUUUUAUUAUUAUUAAUAUCGAUCUUCCCAAACAUCAAUUAUUAUAAUAGAAAUCUUUAGGAGUUAUUUUAAGUUAAUGCUUUCUUACAGAGAUGGCGCUUGAUUUGUAGAAAUAGUAGUUUAAUGUUCUAUGUACAUAGUUUUUGUUUUUAGUAGUUGAUUAUUAUUGAGAAAAGUAAGGUUAAGAAAAGAUAUGGUUUUACCGGGUUUUUAGCACAUGGUUGGUUUUAUAAGAUAUAAGUGAUAGAUUGAUUUUAAUCAACACUGCUGUGUAACAAAUAACAACAUCAAUCAUCAUAUAAUUCUUUUAAAUGUUAGGUACCGUUCUUGCAUGUAUAAUUUGUUUGCAACUAAUGAUUCAUCAAUUUGAUUAUUAAAUAAACCGUUUUUAUCUUGGGACACUAAAAAUAAUGGAGUUUAAUUGGGAUCAUAAAAUAUCCCAGUAUAGUCUCAACUACAAAUCAUCUAAGGUUCAUGAAAAUAUUUGUUUUAAAUAAAUUAACGCACUCUUGGUGGGAUUGACAUGAUUCAUAAAAUAAUGGCAAGUUUACAUUUUACACAGGUACUUAAUAAGGUUUGAAUAUUAUCUUUUUUUAAUGAAAAUAGUAUAAAUGUUUAAGGUAUAUUGCCACAAAGAAUAUAAAUUUGUAAUAUGAUAGUGGAACUUAGAUAAAUGGUUUUUAGAAAAGAAGAAAAUGAAAUAUUCAAUUUCAAAAAUAAACAUAUUGAGACAUUAAUUCCGAAUUGUUUAUUGCCAGCAUAUAUAAGGAUAUGAAAGGCACCAGAUAUAGGUGGUUUGUCGGUACCGGACACUAUUUGAUUUUUUAAGUGUUUUAUUUGUAACUUUUGUUGUUUUUUAUAAUGUAACUUUUUCAUAUUAACAUUACUAGGAAGAAGUUGUAACACUAAGAAUUUGUUUUGAAAGUUCAUAAAAUCAAAACUGAUUCGCGAAAAAUAAGAUUCGUUUUCUUAGCCGCUUACACGCUCAUUUGAAUAAAUUUUAUCACACAAGUGUUGUUUUUUGAAAACAGUUUGUAAUCGCGUAAUUUUAACUUCUACGAGGCAUGCUUCAACUAUCAAGUUCUAGAGUUUAGACAAAGAGGUAACAUACGAGGUAUGAUCAAAAUAAAUUUGACCCAUAUCUUGUUUAUUAUUCGUUGAAAAUAUUGUUGGUGUUUAGGAUUAAUUUGAGAUUAUUAACAAAUUAUUAAUUGACUUUGAUAUUUCCUGAUAUACAAAUAGCUCAUAGUCAAAAUACAGUCUGCUUUAGCUAUAAGAAGUUUUUAAUUUUUAAUACACAAAAAAACAAACAAGUAACAAUUCAAAUUAUUCAUUGUUUAAUAGUUUCCGAUAAUUGUAAAUCAAAACAUUUAUUGUCAUAUAAACUAAUUUGAAAAACUUUGAAGUGACAAAGAAAUUUAAAGUGCCAAAUUAAAAAAUUAUCGUUAAUUUGUUUUUGCCUUCAGCAAAAAAUAAAAUAACAGCCAUUCAUUAUUGUUAAUUAUAUUAUAAUUGUUAUGAAUAAUAAAUAUUGACAAAAACCUGUUCAUUAUAACAACAGAAGGUCAUUUAGUAAUAUUUGCACUUUACAUGUUCAAAACUGGAAAUUAACCCGUAUAAUGUUAUUUUUGACGUAGAUGAAUAAUUUAUAUACUAUUCUACGAAUUAGGAUAACUCAUUGUCAAUAUAGCAGCUACAGCCUAGGCCACUAAAAAUGUUAGAAACAAUAAUUCAAAUCAUUUUCAACAAAAA